AAAGAUCGCAGCCUUCGGCAGCUCCAGGGUUUUGUGAACACCUGUAGGAGCUGCCGAAGGCUGCGAUCUUU
This 71-nucleotide unclassified non-coding RNA is filed under the name Pseudomonas lini. The record is from RNAcentral. Lineage: Bacteria; Pseudomonadati; Pseudomonadota; Gammaproteobacteria; Pseudomonadales; Pseudomonadaceae.